This is a non-coding RNA of Acanthosepion pharaonis, 104 nucleotides long. Lineage: Eukaryota; Metazoa; Mollusca; Cephalopoda; Sepiida; Sepiidae. The record is from the annotation of a GenBank genome assembly.
UUAUCAUGCUGAACCACCAAUUCCCAUCCAAUCACCAAAGUUAAGCAAUGUUGUGCCUGGUCAAUACCUAAAUGGGUGACUACUUGGGAAUACCAGGUAGUGUA